CAGCUCAAAUUUGAAAUCUGGCCCCCCCCCCCGGGGGGCCCGAGUUGUAAUUUGCAGAGGACGCUUCGGGCGCGGCGCCGGCCGAGUUCCUUGGAACAGGACGCCGUAGAGGGUGAGAGCCCCGUACGGCCGGACGCCUAGCCCGUGCGAAGCUCCUUCGACGAGUCGAGUAGUUUGGGAAUGCUGCUCAAAAUGGGAGGUAAAUUUCUUCUAAAGCUAAAUACCGGCCAGAGACCGAUAGCGCACAAGUAGAGUGAUCGAAAGAUGAAAAGCACUUUGAAAAGAGGGUUAAAGAGUACGUGAAAUUGUUGAAAGGGAAGCGCCUGUGGCCAGACGUGCCGCCCGCGGACCACCUGGCGCCCCCGCGCCAGGGCACGCCGCGGGCGCGCAGGCCAGCAUCGGCCUCCCCGGGGGGACAAAGGGCGCGGGAACGUAGCUCCUCAGGGAGUGUUAUAGACCGCGCCGCCAUGCCUCCGGGGGGGCCGAGG
RNAcentral lists this ribosomal RNA (488 nucleotides) under Raffaelea ellipticospora. RNAcentral describes it as "partial 26S ribosomal RNA". It matches the Rfam family "Eukaryotic large subunit ribosomal RNA", at positions 104 to 500 of the family's 3401-position model. Lineage: Eukaryota; Fungi; Ascomycota; Sordariomycetes; Ophiostomatales; Ophiostomataceae. The record is from RNAcentral.